This 1085-nucleotide long non-coding RNA is filed under the name Macaca mulatta (Rhesus monkey). Its description in RNAcentral is "lncRNA (ENSMMUG00000044166.2)". The record is from RNAcentral. Lineage: Eukaryota; Metazoa; Chordata; Mammalia; Primates; Cercopithecidae.
AUCUACAGUCGUGGGAAGAGUGGAGCUUUCCCAGCAAAGUGCCUUGGAAGAGAGAAAGAGUGCCAGCCACACUAUGUAGAGGCAGAAAGAAUCACUGCUUGCUGCCAGACACAGCCAGCCUCCCUCACCUUUAGAAACCCUUUUGAACCUCAGGGAGGAGGACCUAUCAGUGUCCACACAUUUGGUGAUCUACCUGGAGCCAAAAGUGUUUUGAAUAUCUCAUCAUCUCUUCAUUUGUCUUCCCUCUCUAAACGACAGAAAGGGUGGUAAGAAGAGAGAGGGAAGGAGCGAAGAAGUGAGGGGGACAAAGAGAAAGAGAGAGAGAGAGAAAGAAAGAACCUCCGUCUCAUCACAUGGAAACUGAUUUUGUUAUCAAUAGGAAGCGUCAAGACCGACCAGACACUUCAGCAGCCAGAAAAGCAGAUUUACUGCAGCCAUUCUUUCCUGGGCUAUUUAUAGAGACCACGAUUGUUGUCAUCAAAAGUAAGUUUGAAAUCAGACUCUCUUUUGAAUCUCUGUGGGCAUCUUUGAAGCUCUCCUGUGAAUCUCUUUUGGGGUGGCUUUUCCCCUCCUGCUCUUGUAACGCAUCAGGGCCUGGAGGUGGUGCAGGAAUGUCUUUUGCUCCUACUGUCCCUUCCAGAACAUUUUAUUUCCUUUCCAAGCCCUACCCCUCGUGUGUUAAUCUCAUGUCAACAAAUGACACUCAGAUGUAGCCCAUAUACCAAUCUAUCUCCUAACUAAAGUCAGCUUUUUCCUUGAAGAUGUUAAAUCCUGGCUUACUGUCCAUCUCUUCCACAGUACUCCUAUCAUAACUGGGUGUGAUUUCAGUAAUCAUAUAGGUUAUUUUUCUAAACCCCAACAUUUCCAUUUCCUUAACUGUUCUCCUCAAAUGAUAUUUUUUUCCUCUAAACCGUCUCUGACAUUCAUUCCAAUGACUGAAAUCACUCCAUAAUCUUAAAUGUAAGCAUCCUAAUCUCUGAAAGUAUCUGUUAUCUUUUCUGCUCAUUCCUACUAUUGUUCUGACUUAGUGUUUCAACCCCCUUUGAGAAUGGAAUCCAUUGAUUCUACCAGCUUUUUACUUAUCC